Molecule: microRNA, 23 nt
Filed under: Nematostella vectensis (starlet sea anemone)
Lineage: Eukaryota; Metazoa; Cnidaria; Anthozoa; Actiniaria; Edwardsiidae
Description: Nve-Mir-9435_3p (mature (guide))
Source: RNAcentral
UGCUAGAGACACGUGACUGGUGC